RNAcentral lists this long non-coding RNA (863 nucleotides) under Mus pahari (shrew mouse). Its description in RNAcentral is "lncRNA (MGP_PahariEiJ_G0003508.1)". The record is from RNAcentral. Lineage: Eukaryota; Metazoa; Chordata; Mammalia; Rodentia; Muridae.
UGGCCGUGCGCAGGCGCAGCUGCUGCGGCUCCUGAAAUCCUCUGGUGUGAACUUCUCUCCCAGGGCUGUUGGUGCAGCAUCCACUCUUCUGGCAGUGGGCGCCUGGACCUUAGUUACCCGGGGAGCGUGAGUCAUGUUGCCAUAGUUGAGCUGGCACAUAAAACUGCGAGUCACACCAGAAGAGGACAUUGGAUCCCACUAUAGAGGGUUGUGAGCCACCUUGUGGUUGCUGGGAAUUGAACUCAGAAACUCUGGAAGAGCGGUUGGUGCGCUUUACUGCUGAGUCAUCUCUCCAGUCCCAGGUGUUCUGCCCAGUUUAUAGAACAAGGAAUUGAAGCUUGGAGAAGAUUGAUGGGCCACUCAAGUUCCCUGGAUGGUCCAGGAUUCAGACUGUGGAUGGCCUAAUACAUCAGUUUUGCUGGCUCCCUGUGUUUGGCUAACCUUAGAGCCUCUUACCUUGCCAUAGUCUUUUCUAUGAAGGACAGAGAUCCAAGGAGUAGACCAACUUACCUGAGUUCACACAGUGGACCUGGGUCUUUCACCUCCCAGCGCAAUGUUCCUAUGUCCUGCCACUGAAGAGACAGGUGGGAGGGAGCUCAAGGUUGGCUUGCCUAACAACCAUUGCUUGAAAGACAAAGCUCCCAAGGAGAGCACAAGAUACCUCACUCAAGACUGCUCUGCAUCACCAGCCAGUGUGAACAGAGCCUGCGGCUGUCAGCAGAGUAGUCUUUGUCUCGGAGACACGCUGUGUCUACAAUUGGACUAGGAACUUUGGAUUAGGGUGGGCAUCAUGCCCCAUAGGACAGUGGUGGUGUAUGUAGCCUCAUUUCUGAGUUUAUUUAGAGAGGAGAAAGAAUGUACCA